This 428-nucleotide long non-coding RNA is filed under the name Gallus gallus (chicken). RNAcentral describes it as "lncRNA (ENSGALG00010028976.1)". Lineage: Eukaryota; Metazoa; Chordata; Aves; Galliformes; Phasianidae. The record is from RNAcentral.
CGGAGGGUGGUCCAGCACAGUGGUGGCCUCGGGGCCCAGGCUGGAGGGGGCCUGGCACAGUUGAGGCCUCGUGUGGGCCCAGAAGGAAGGGGGCCCAGGCACAGGUAGAGCCUCGGGGCCCAGGAUGGAGGAGAACCAGGCUCAGUUGGGGCUGUGUUGGGGCCCAGGAUGGAGGAGGACCAGGCACAGUUGGGGCUGCUUUGGGGCCCGGGCUGGUGGGAGGCCCGGCACAGCCAGAGCCUUGUGGCUGCACUCCCUCUGUACAGUUCAACCUUGAUCCCUAACCUAAAAUGGUAACUGUAGUGAAAGGCAGUAGCUGAUCCAGCUGCUUUCCUGUGUUUUAAUUUUCCUAAGAAUGGGGAAGGACUCAAGCUAGUAAACAAAGACCCCUUUCUGAAGAACAGGACUCAGAAAGUAUUAGCACAGAG